RNAcentral lists this ribosomal RNA (550 nucleotides) under uncultured bacterium. RNAcentral's name for it is "bacterial SSU rRNA". It matches the Rfam family "Bacterial small subunit ribosomal RNA", at positions 355 to 896 of the family's 1533-position model. The record is from RNAcentral.
UAGGGAAUCUUCCACAAUGGGCGCAAGCCUGAUGGAGCAACACCGCGUGAGUGAAGAAGGGUUUCGGCUCGUAAAGCUCUGUUGUUAAAGAAGAACACGUAUGAGAGUAACUGUUCAUACGUUGACGGUAUUUAACCAGAAAGUCACGGCUAACUACGUGCCAGCAGCCGCGGUAAUACGUAGGUGGCAAGCGUUAUCCGGAUUUAUUGAGCGUAAAGAGAGUGCAGGCGGUUUUCUAAGUCUGAUGUGAAAGCCUUCGGCUUAACCGGAGAAGUGCAUCGGAAACUGGAUAACUUGAGUGCAGAAGAGGGUAGUGGAACUCCAUGUGUAGCGGUGGAAUGCGUAGAUAUAUGGAAGAACACCAGUGGCGAAGGCGGCUACCUGGUCUGCAACUGACGCUGAGACUCGAAAGCAUGGGUAGCGAACAGGAUUAGAUACCCUGGUAGUCCAUGCCGUAAACGAUGAGUGCUAGGUGUUGGAGGGUUUCCGCCCUUCAGUGCCGGAGCUAACGCAUUAAGCACUCCGCCUGGGGAGUACGACCGCAAGGUUG